RNAcentral lists this ribosomal RNA (631 nucleotides) under uncultured picoeukaryote. Its description in RNAcentral is "partial 16S ribosomal RNA". It matches the Rfam family "Bacterial small subunit ribosomal RNA", at positions 886 to 1482 of the family's 1533-position model. The record is from RNAcentral.
CCGCAAGGCUAAAACCCAAAGGAAUUGACGGGGGCUUACACAAGCGGUGGAGCAUGUGGUUUAAUUCGAAACAACGCGCAAAACCUUACCAAUCCUUGACAUAUGAAAAACCAGGGUGUUUACCCGCUCUGUCUCUUUUAUACAGGUGCUGCAUGGCUGUCGUCAAUUCGUGGUGUGAGCUGUUGGGUUAAGUCCCAGAACGAACGCAACCCUCCUUUGAAAUGAAGGUUUACCUUUUUCAAAGACUGCCAAGGAUAUCUUGGAGGAAGGUGAGGAUGACGUCAAGUCCGCAUGGCCCUUAUGGGUUGGGCUACACACGUGCUACAAUGGGAAUGACAAAAGGAGGCAACAUGGCAACAUUGAGCAAAUCCCAAAAAGUUUCCUUAGUUCGGAUUGUUCUCUGCAACUCGAGAACAUGAAGUUGGAAUCGCUAGUAAUCGUAGAUCAGCACGCUACGGUGAAUUUGUAUCUAAGCCUUGUACACACCGCCCGUCACACUCUGAAAAUUUUUAUGCCUUGAAGCAAAAGAAGUUCACCAAGAACACACAGCGCAAUUAAAAAAAACAUCUUCCCUUUUUUUUUCUGUGUCUUUGUUGGAACCUUUUCUAGAGUUAGGGAGGUGAUUGGAGUG